ACCGCGGUAAUUCGUAAAAGACUAGUGUUAUUCAUCUUUAAUAGGUUUAAAGGGUACUUAGACGGUAAAUCAAGCCCGAAGAGGGAACUAAUAUACUAGAGUUUGAUGUAAGGAAGCAUGAAAGUACUGUUGGUGUAGAGAUAAAAUUCUAUCAUACCAAAUAUGGCACAGGUUUAGGCGAAAGCAUCUUCUUAUGUAAUAACUGACGUUGAAGGACGAAGGCUUUGUGUCUCGAACAGGAUUAGAUACCCCAGUAGUCUAAGCAGACAAUGAUGAAUGUCAUAGAUUAGAUUUAAUUUAUUCUAUAAAUGAAAGUGUAAGCAUUCCACCUCAAGAGUAAUUUGGCAACAUUGGAACUGAAAUCAUUAGACCGUUUCUGAAACCAGUAGUGAAGUAUGUUGUUUAAUUAGAUGGUACGCAAAAAACCUUACCACAAUUUGAAUUAUAAUAUGUUUUCACAAGCGCUGCACGGCUGUCUACACUUAA
Molecule: ribosomal RNA, 486 nt
Filed under: Lecidea confluens
Lineage: Eukaryota; Fungi; Ascomycota; Lecanoromycetes; Lecideales; Lecideaceae
Description: SSU rRNA
Rfam family: Bacterial small subunit ribosomal RNA
Source: RNAcentral